This 377-nucleotide ribosomal RNA is filed under the name uncultured bacterium. Its description in RNAcentral is "bacterial SSU rRNA". It matches the Rfam family "Bacterial small subunit ribosomal RNA", at positions 524 to 898 of the family's 1533-position model. The record is from RNAcentral.
GACGGAGGAGGCAAGCAUUGUCCGGAAUUAUUGGGCGUAAAGAACACGUAGGCGGUUUAUCAAGUCAUAUGUGAAAACCUUGGGCUUAACUUAAGGAUUGCAUAUGAUACUGGUAAACUAGAGUAUAGUAGAGGAAAGCGGAAUUCCUGGUGUAGCGGUGAAAUGCGCAGAUAUCAGGAAGAACACCAGUGGCGAAAGCGGCUUUCUGGACUGUUACUGACGCUGAGGUGUGAAAGCUAGGGGAGCGAACAGGAUUAGAUACCCUGGUAGUCCUAGCUGUAAACGAUGGACACUAGGUGUGGGGAGUUAUCGACGCUCUCUGUGCCGAAGCUAACGCAUUAAGUGUCCCGCCUGGGGAGUACGGUCGCAAGACUAAA